Long non-coding RNA from Coccinella septempunctata (seven-spotted ladybird), 1520 nucleotides. RefSeq lists it as uncharacterized. The transcript has 3 exons. The record is from RefSeq and is a predicted model, not a curated record. NCBI's taxonomy places the organism in Eukaryota, Metazoa, Arthropoda, Insecta, Coleoptera, Coccinellidae.
CAAGAAAAUUUAGUUGUAGGGGUUUUUUCUUGAAAAUAAGAAUUCUUAUAUAACUCGUUUUACUGUAGAUUAUAGCCUUCUAUAAUUCCUUCUAUAAUCCCAAACAAGAGACCUAUCCUGUCAGGUAAAAAAUGUAUUUUUGCUCAAAAACCUUCUUUUGGAGAUUUUCGUUUCACAUAAUGGAAUUGCAAUUUAUGCAUCUUCGAAUGGCGGACAUAGAUUUUGUAUUUCCUAUAGCGAGUAAGCUUCUGUCAAAUAAUAUCACUCACUUCCCUGUUUUUAAUCACAAUACCAAACUUUACUUUCACACCAUGGACUGUGUAGCGUUCAAUUUCAUUGCAGCACAAAAUACUUCGUAUAGUAAUUUGGGUUGCCUACUGAUUUCGAGUUCGACGAAUUUAAAUUAUCUCGGGGAAUGUUUAUCGGUUUUUUUUUCCAUAUGUGCCAGAUACGGUAAUUUCCUUCAAGAAAGAAUUUACUUUCGUACUUCGAAAUUGGGAAAGUAGAUAUUUCGAUUUAUUCUGUGGAAAUCCAAGAGUUUUGGGAUAAAAAUAUUUUCCUGAUUUCUUUCAAUAUUGUAUUGCGAGUUGGUUAUUUGAUGAAGCAAUAUAAUACCCAAAUUUGGGGAUCAUUGGAGUGUAUUGAAAGAGUAUCUUUCUCCAUUAGGCCACACAACAUCAAAGGCCUUUUUUUUUCCCGACUUUUUCUUCUUGAGUUUACGUUUGGAAUAUAACGUAAAAUAUAAGAGUGCUGUCGACAGAGAAUUCAAUUUACCUAAGAUCCAAGAACAUCAAGGAUACUGAACGAGCGCUGCAGAUUUUUGGUUUAUGUUCAAUUUUUGUCUUCACGAGUUUGGACUCACAGGAUUGAGAAUUGGUGACGUAGUUUUAAUAAUAGUUUCAAUCCUGCUGUUCAUCAAACUGAUUGAAUAUAGGAUUCCUAGAAUAACUAGGCACUUAUAUUGACCAUACUCUGCCCAUAGGUUUCAACACUCGAAACGUCGUAAAACUUUUUUUUUAUGACAUGUUUGGGAGUUUAUCGCCAUUUCGAAUAUUCUGAAGAUAUUGAAGUUUUCCUGAAGAAAUUUGUCCAGAAGAAUUAUUCAGAGGAGUGUGACCCACUGGUUUCACCAUUUUUUCCAUGAAAAUCACCGCAACUCAUAAAGCAAGGUAUGGUAUUCUGCCUAAUUCAAUAUAAAAAACUUGUGAGUAUCUGAGUGGCAUAUAAAUUUGGAUUCAUUAUUAUUUCAAUAGGUAUUUGGACAAACAUACAUAUUUUCAAUGUAAACACCAAUAAGGUACAUACAUGUAGAAAGAUAUUUUUAUUACCCUUGAUUAACUUUUGACGUUGUUGUUGCUGUUCUAUUGUUGUUCCUAUUGUUUGAAUAAUGAGAAACUGAUAGAAAAUGGGAAUGCUAGGGAGUUGUCAAUUUAGACGGAAAUUGAAAAAAUACUUUAGUAUUCAGUUCUUCAAAAAUUUGUUGAAAAGUGUUGAAAAAUAACAUCAGUCGAGACGCGACC